Molecule: microRNA precursor, 58 nt
Filed under: Tetraodon nigroviridis (spotted green pufferfish)
Lineage: Eukaryota; Metazoa; Chordata; Actinopteri; Tetraodontiformes; Tetraodontidae
Description: Tni-Mir-122_pre stem-loop
Source: RNAcentral
UGGAGUGUGACAAUGGUGUUUGUGUCCUUUCUUUCAAACGCCAUUAUCACACUAAAUA